AUGGAUCCCUCUUCGGCCACGAAAGCCACACUGAAAGUCCUGGGCCUCUGCUUCAUCCUCCUGCUCCUGGUGGCCGCCGUGACGGUCUCCGUGGCCGUCCUGGUGAGGCACUCGGAGGCCACCCGCCAGCUGAGAGGGUGCCAGGAGAGGGCCGCCAACGAGACGGGGGCCCUGGCCGACCGGGUGGCCGAGCUGGAGCGCGAGAGAGCCCAGCGGGGCAAGCAGUUGGAGAAGCUGGCCCAGCGGGAGAAGGACCUCCAGAGGCAGCUCGGCCAGGCCAAGGAAAGCCGGAAGAGGCUCAACGCCACCGUGAUGGGCUGCCUGGAGAACGUGACCCGGUUGGAUGCCAACCUAUCGGCCCUCCAGAACGAGAUGUUCACCCUCCAGGCUGAAGGAAUGGAUGUGAACAGUCAGAAUGGGGCCCUCCUAGCGGAAAUGGCCCAGUGGCGUGAGCAGGUGACGGGACUCGAAGGCCGGCUGGCGGGCGCCGUGGAUGCGCGAGAUGCCGCCGAGGCCGAGAAGGAGGCCUGCAACGCCAGGCAGGAUGCGCUCCAAGAAAGCCUGCAGAGCUACCUGGCUGAGAUCGCCUCCCUCCAGCGCCGCCUCCAGGGCCGGUCCUCGCCCUCGUCCUCGUCCCGCCGCAGGUGCCCCCCCUUCCGGUACUUAUUCUGGGGGCUGGUGACCCUUUGCGCUCUGUUCCCCCUUGUAAGUUGGAGAGGAAAGAGCGGGUGUGUGCAGGGAGGGGGGUGAGAGCACAAGAGGGAAUAUGAGGGGCUCCAUGUUGGGCACUCAAAAAGGGGCCCCGUGUUAAUUAGUCUUCAGAGUAACACAGGGCUCUGCUGAAGUGGUACUCUUCAAAGUAACACAGAGCUCUGUUCACCUAGUAGUUUUCAAAGUGACACAGGAUUCUUUCAUUCUUCAUCUAACAGACUGAGACAACCCUCUUGCCUCCCAGAUUUCAUAAAUCUGUUAGCUUUCCAGGUAUCACUGAACUUCUAGUUGUCUCUCCAGCUGACGAACAAGGCCUCCCAGUUCGGAAACGACUGCGUAUAAAAGGUCUGAGGCUUCAAUCCUGUAGUCUGUUCAGUUCUCUGAGAGUAAAUCCAUUAAACUCCACGAAACGUACUUCUGAGUAGACCUUUUUAGGACAGCAGGCUUUCUGGAUUCAUGGGAUUAAGCAUCCCUGGAAGCUGAGGCCAUAAUGAUUAUGUCAGCCUUCAGAGUCACACAAGGUUCUUCACUACCUAUGCAGUUAUUUCUAGCCCCUUUUCGGGAACUGUGGGUUGCUGUUUUUUAACUAUAAUUUUAAUUAUUUUCCAGGAAGGGCUGAGCUUUCUCCUCUAGUCUAGAGGACCUAAACGGUGCCUUUGACGGGCAGGAGAUGAGGAAACGGUGUUUUUCUUCACCCAUUGUCUUCAAGGAUGAGGAGACCCACUCCAGAUCUGCUGGGAUAUUACACUUUCAAGAAAGAACCAAGAGGGAGAAAAAUUCAGGGUGCUCCUAACCAUCAAAACAAGACAAUUUUAAAAAAAUGUGUUGGAAUGUAACUUUCCAAUGAAUUAAAAUUUAUGAAUUUUUUUCCUGUCAAGUUGGAUGUUUUUUUUAAAAAAAAUUCAAUCUCAGGGUUGCAAAGAAGGAACACCGCCAUUUAAUAUAUAUAUAUGUUAUCAUUUUUACGGCUUUUUUCCCCUCCUUGAAUCAGCUCCACUUGUCCAGGGCUCUUCUGCCUGAUUCGCCCUCUGAACAGCCC
Long non-coding RNA from Pogona vitticeps (central bearded dragon), 1750 nucleotides. Ensembl annotates it as chromosome partition protein Smc. Lineage: Eukaryota; Metazoa; Chordata; Lepidosauria; Squamata; Agamidae. The record is from Ensembl.